This 405-nucleotide ribosomal RNA is filed under the name uncultured bacterium. RNAcentral describes it as "bacterial SSU rRNA". It matches the Rfam family "Bacterial small subunit ribosomal RNA", at positions 355 to 776 of the family's 1533-position model. The record is from RNAcentral.
CAGGGAAUAUUGCGCAAUGGGCGAAAGCCUGACGCAGCGACACCGCGUGGGGGAAGAAGGCUUUAGGGUUGUAAACCCCUUUUCUCGAGGAAGAGAGAGGACGGUACUCGAGGAAUAAGGUUCGGCUAACUACGUGCCAGCAGCCGCGGUAAUACGUAGGAACCGAGCGUUGUCCGAAUUUACUGGGCGUAAAGGGCGAGUAGGCGGCUUGCCAAGUCUCAUGUGAAAUCUCCCGGCUCAACUGGGAGGGGUCAUGGGAAACUGGCAGGCUUGAGGGCAGCAGAGGAAAGUGGAAUUCCCGGAGUAGUGGUGGAAUGCGUAGAUACCGGGAGGAACACCAGUGGCGAAGGCGGCUUUCUGGGCUGUACCUGACGCUGAGGCGCGAAAGCGUGGGGAGCAAACCGG